This 1007-nucleotide long non-coding RNA is filed under the name Bos indicus x Bos taurus (hybrid cattle). RNAcentral's name for it is "lncRNA (ENSBIXG00000005248.1)". The record is from RNAcentral. Lineage: Eukaryota; Metazoa; Chordata; Mammalia; Artiodactyla; Bovidae.
GAAUAAUCAACCAUGGCUUAAAAUGAUGUACCAUGCCAUAGAAUGAAGAAUGUUUCUAGAUAUUUUGGGGGUUGAUAUUUUAGCUUUGCAAAAGGUAAGUGCUCCUUUUAUGCUACAAUAUUUCUAAAAAUGAAAUGGACUGAGGGAGGUAUAUCAUAGUAGCCAGAUUUUAUCAAAACUAUCACAGAGUAUCUGUCAAGGUCAACAGCUAAUGCAGAAGUUAUAUUCUUAGUUCUGCUACAAAGAUGGGGGAAAAAAUUGUUUAAUUAAAGGAAGGUGAUAAAUUAAAUCCCUUGUAGGAUUUCUGAAGUUCUGUUUUUGAUCGUAAAAUGUCUUUACUAGAGCAACUUGUUACUUCAACAUUCCUACAUAAAAAUAUUCAUAUUUCCUUAGCUAUAUCCAAAUCUUCAAAAUAGUUUUUAAAGUUUUCCUUGCAGAGUGGGAAUACCAAUGAUGCAGCACUCCUCUGGAUUUAGAUUUCAUUCAAAUUCUAAUAGGGUGAAUAUUCCUAGCCAAAAUUCCUUCUAAUCCCAACUCCUAAUCUUGUUUCCAUUGAUCAUCAUGGUGAACUACUUCUUUUUCUCUUUGGGCAGAGUCUCCAUGGUGCAUUGCUACAGUGAUAUUUGCCUUGCUUUAUUUAAUUGCUCUUGCACUAGCUGCAUUUAUGAUAGCUAAGGUUAAUUGUCUAGAAGAAAUUCUGAAUACAUAUGAAAACAAUACGUCAAAUGUGCCUGGACGCUGCAACACAAUAUAGCAAAACCGAGGUAACUGGUCCUUCUCUGAAGAAAACUGAUAUCUUAUUUCUGCUGAAAAUAAGAUCUUGGCAGCAAGGAAAUUGUCCUGAAGCCCUGAGCUCCAGUCUUAUCAAGAAAUAUAACAAAGAAGAAUUGGAAAUGUAUGGCACAAUAACCCUUCCCACAUUUUCUUAUACGGAAGAUAAUUAUAGAGACAUUUUAACAUUAUGUGUUCAUUCAAGCAUGCUAAACUCAACAUAUUGUAAUAAUUGA